GGGGUUGUGACUCAGUGGUAGAGAACUUGCCUAGCAUGUAUGAGGCACUGGGUUCAAUCCCUGGCACCACA
RNAcentral lists this transfer RNA (71 nucleotides) under Marmota monax (woodchuck). RNAcentral's name for it is "tRNA.Ala". Lineage: Eukaryota; Metazoa; Chordata; Mammalia; Rodentia; Sciuridae. The record is from RNAcentral.